Molecule: long non-coding RNA, 1064 nt
Filed under: Lactuca sativa (garden lettuce)
Lineage: Eukaryota; Viridiplantae; Streptophyta; Magnoliopsida; Asterales; Asteraceae
Description: long non-coding RNA (LSAT_LNC006007)
Source: RNAcentral
UGUUGUUGAACAGUAGGGGUAGAGAGAGAGAUAGAGAGAGAGAGAGAGAGACUUACAGUUGGUCGUGUAUUACCUGCAUCAAAUUGAAAUUAAGGGAAUGUUGAUAGGGCGGAGGUGGUGAAUGAGAUGUUUGGUGAUACUGAUAAGAAGGAGAUCAAGUNAACAAAAACCUAAUUUCAUUGAAGAUGAAAAAAAAUACAACAUUAAACCCUAGCAGAUGGUAUGUUUUAAACAUAGUUAGAUUAAAUCGUACUUGGUAUCGGCUUUCCUCGUAGCACCGCUUGAUUUGCUUCCUUUCAUCGUUUGAUCCUGAAUGAAACAACCGAAACAACAAACUAGGUCAAAAAUCGAAGCGAAAAUGGUUGUAAAUGAAAAAAAUUAGAGUCGACAUCGAGGAAAAAGAGGAAGAAAACAUACCUAGUUAGCAAAAAAUCUAGGGUUAGGGUUUGAUUCGUUUGCGAUUGGGGGAUACUGGGGUAAGGAAAUCGACUUAUAAAUGGCUACGAUACGUCGGCAAUAGAACUAUUUGGGCAGGAAGAUUUUCAUUCCAAGAGGGCUUGAUUAUGUUCAUGAUUUUGGGCCCAUUUUGGAUAAAACAAUGGGGCUUCAUUGGUGGUGGUGGUGAACCAGAGAGAAGACGAGGGGUGGUGGGUGCCUAGGUUGUUGUUGAACAGUAGGGGGUAGAGAGAGAGAUAGAGAUAGAGAGAGAGAGAGACUUGUAGUUGGUCGUGUAUUACCCGCAUCAAAUUGAAAUUAAGGGAAUGUUGAUAGGGCGGAGGUGGUGAAUGAGAUGUUUGGUGAUACUGAUAAGAAGGAGAUCAAGUAGAGAUCCGAUGAACGAGAUGUUUGAUGAUACUGAAGAUGAAGAUGACGGACCUAGGGCUUUUUCUUGCUAAGUAGAAGAGGCGGGGGGAUUAAUUUUGGGAUUCAAUAGGCGGGGGUAAUUUUCGUCGAUUUCAUUUCCCGCCUAAAACGCGUGUUUCACUUAAAAUUAUAAAGCGACACAUUCACAUGACGCACAUUUUAUGAAAGGUGCCCUCCGCAUUUCUUUUUUUUUUCUUUUC